Molecule: long non-coding RNA, 3274 nt
Organism: Artibeus jamaicensis (Jamaican fruit-eating bat)
Lineage: Eukaryota; Metazoa; Chordata; Mammalia; Chiroptera; Phyllostomidae
Exons: 3
Source: RefSeq, a predicted model, not a curated record
UGGUCCUACUUAAAAAGUAAGUUGUUAACUUUUAAUAAUUUUACUUAUUCAAGGACAUGAAUCACUGAAAAAAGAAUGAACAAGGAUAAAACAGGUGACAUGUCAGGCAGUAGGUACAAAAACUGUAGUGCCAGUUAAAGCAUAUGUAUCCAUUUACGCUUAUAUUUUCACAUUCAGAAGUCUUACCUUUCUAGGGUCUUCCCCAAGUGACCGUAAGUAGUACUUCUCAUCCUUAAACAUCCCAAAGAAAAAAUAACAUCAAUAUUCACUUAAAAAUAUUAGAAAGUAAAAAUGAAAGAAAACAAGUUUUAAAACCUAACCCAGCUGUUUUCGAAAAAGCUGUUUUCUUACUCUUUCUAGUAAUGCUCUCUGGUGGCCAUAUGAAGAAAUGUCUUUAUAUACUGUUUGAAAUAAUGACUGGAUCCACAAAACAUAAGUAAAAUAAAUUCUAAAAGCAAUAUAUACAUACCACAUCUGAAACCACAAUGCUCAAUUUAGACUUUAUACUUCAAAUUACUUAGACUCUUAAAAGAAUUCCCAUGUGUAUAAUACACAUGAUCUCAAGGUAUUGCUGAGUGCCAACAACAAACUUCUGUAUAUAAUACAAAUGGACAAUAGGGGAUAAAUAAAAUAUACUUUAAUAAUUUUUUAAAUCUAGAACACUGUAUUUUAUCAAGCUAUGCCUAUCCCUGAUUAUAUAAAUUGUCAAGUCAAAUCCUCAAGUGUAAGCUCCUAUAUGAAUGAUAGUGUUAUAGUAUUAAAUUUGAUAUUUCAAAAAAUUAUCAAUUAUACUGCACCAAGUAGCUAUAUAUUAGGGAACUGCCUGAACUGUAAACCACUGCUGCUGCUGGCCUCUCCUGUGAGAAGAGAACUGGGAGACACUGGGUGGAGCACAGGGCGGGCCAAGGCGAGGGUUCUGCUGCUGGUGCACCUGCACGGCCACCACGGCACAAACUUCAGAAAACAUCUUACUUCCCGUAGCAGCAUGUCAUAAAUCUGUGAUCAUAAAUGUGCCACAUCAGGUAAAUUCCAUACAUUUAUUGCUCGCUAAAAAUGUUUCAAAUUAUGUUCUUCAAAUUUCUAAGAGUUUUCUACCAGGAUUUAAUAGUAUUUCAGGAUUUAAGAAUAAGCUCACGUGGCAGAUACAGAGAUGCACUUCUCAGACCCCUCUUUAAGAAAGAACCCACUGCUAAGCCCAAAGGAGUGUGAUUAACUUACAGCUGCCGCCUGUUUACUCCUUCAGGUCCACCCCAGCCUUUGAACCAAGGUCAUGACCACCUUGGGGUAGCCCAACUAAUGGCUGAGCAAAAGGCCUACUUCCUUCGGAGCCCACAACUCCUCUAACAGACAGCCGUUGCUUAGGAGUUCCAUGAUAUUUAAGGUGAGUAUACUGAGGCACAGAAAAAUAAUUUGGCCAAGGUGUGAGAUCUAAUGAACAACAGGACCAGUAUCUACGGCAUACACAACCAAACCCGAAGAGUGGCUUUCAGAGAAGAACACAGCUCUUGUAUAUACAAUAUUCUCUUAUAAGAAAGUAAUGCUUUCUGAAACACCCGUUAAAACCAAUUACCUCAGAAAUGAAGAAUUCUUUAUGCUUUUCUUCAGCUGCCCUUUGAACCAAUUUGUCAAAAGGUGUCCUGGCAAAACCCACCCGGUGACAAGGGGCAAGUGCAAGUGCUCCUCGGGAAGAGACGGGGCAGGAGGGGAUGGGACCGGGCCCGCCCUCACUGGGCGUCCGUCCUGCCUUUCGGCACCACCGCGGCACAGAGGCCUGUGGCACUGCUCUAGUCCACCGGCACCACCCUGUGUCGUGAUAAGGCUCCUGAGGAAUAUCUCAAGGUGAAUUUCAGUGAAGUGACAGUUUUCUUCUUCUUCAAUAUCUCUGCACACAUGCCUGGCUCCUUCCACCCAGGUGAACAGGGCUGAACAUCAUAGAAGCAAAGUUCAUUUCCUUUACCUCAGGUUCUUGAGCCUCAAGGGUUACUUUCUCCUCAGGUCCCAUCCUACCCCUUCAAUCUUCUCAAAUCAAAAAUACUGCCCCCCACAUAAGGAUGAUUCCUUAUCAGUUCCAUCAGACAACAAAGUCCUCAAAAGCACUGGGUCAAAAGCCUCUCCCUUCCUCCAGCACUGCACCCCAGCCUCCAAACCUGAUAAAAAGUUAGAAUUGUUUACUCUUAUUUUCCGUUUGAAAUCUGUACUGGGGCAAAACCUGUUCUCCUCCUCUGUAAGAUGACCUUAGGCUUACUUUCUCCUAGCAAUGUUUUCCUACAAACAUAUUUGGUUGAGAUAAAUGUGGAAUGUCAACUGUGACAUCAGGUAAUACGGUUCACUGUAACAUGGUCCCUGACUGGUGAACUAUGUCUGACUAGAAAGCUGGUGGUGGAAUAUAAGUACUUGUUAGGAAGCAGGGGAUUUGGCCUCCUUGUGUGCAGUGUAACUCUUGCGACUGAGUAUACCCCUUGGGGGAACCUAGAAAAUAAGUUCAUGGCUUGUUUUGUGCUACUGGUAUCUGAGCUAGGGUGUUUUUGCACUUACUUUUACAGUCAAGUUUCCUGACAGCUAAGCUGUUAUGGUUGGGAGGCAAAAAAUGGCUCCUGGAUUGGUAUAAGGGCUCCUACUGACACUAUCCACUAGGUUGCUGUUUUCUGCAAAGCCAAGUGCAUCUGAUGCCAGAGUAUGGACUACUGGGUCCUGUGAGCAUGACUGUCAAUCUGAACUCAAGGACACUGCUGGUAAUCUUGAGGGAGCACUGCAAGAGAGACAGAAGGAGUCUGCCAUCUACACAAACCAAUCUCCUAUAUAGUUUCUGGCUAAUUAUAUCAACAAAUUUACUUAGCAUCUUCCUAUUCAAUGUUUUCCAUCUCUGACUCCACCAUACACCCCCAUCCACGCCAAAGCCUUUUUGAAGAGUAGAGGAGUAACAUGGAAGCCUUCCUCUGUAACUGGUGCACUUGCCUGGGCUUAGCUUUUUUACUAAGGAGAACCCAGAAGUGUUUCAAGACCUUUGUAAGAACAGGGCAGAUAGAGUGGUCAGUCCAUAAAAGAACAGGGGUGCCCCGCCACCUUUCUCCCUUAGGUAGUGGUGCCUGUCAGAGGUUCUGCAUUAGCAAAGCUGAGAGAAGGGAAACUGAAGUACAUGCAUUGGGAAGUUCCUUGGCUCUGAGAUCUUAUCGACCCUAUGCAUGUUUCAAAAGAGAGCACCUGCUACUGAAGUUCCACUCGUCUGGACUGGCAUACGGUCUGGGACGGGAGCUGGUAUGAAAGAGGGGUUAGG